This is a long non-coding RNA of Crotalus tigris (Tiger rattlesnake), 240 nucleotides long. RefSeq lists it as uncharacterized. The transcript has 3 exons. Lineage: Eukaryota; Metazoa; Chordata; Lepidosauria; Squamata; Viperidae. The record is from RefSeq and is a predicted model, not a curated record.
GGUCAAAACAAAGUGCCCAACAGAAUCUUCUUCCAGAUUGCUGGGAAAUUCUCCAGGUGCUGUCAAGAAGCCUACUGGAUCCCACAAACAUCUGAGACAAGCCAUCUUACUGACCCCUUCUUACCAACAGAGAUAUCAACAAUAUCUUCAACACAGUCAUUCCAGCAUAACUGAGAACAAUUGAAAAAGAGAAAUUACAAGCUCUACUCUGACCACAAUCCUGUCUGCAGUCAGAAGGAG